GGAACCCAAAGUCAGUGAACUCCCAAAAGGCCUCGUGCUAGGUAGAGAUGAGAAUAUGCAUAUAAUACUUACAAGAUCCACUUUCCUAGGCGAUGUGAGAUGUUACAAAAUAGACUACGGUUGAGCAGGACACAAGCAAUCGUAAAGAGAGAGUAUAUGAGUUUUCUUUUUCAGUUUGAGAGAGAGAGAGUUGUGACCCUAAGACAUUUAAGAAAAACAAAAAAUAGUCACUUAGCCUACCUAUAUGACCCACUUGAUUUUCAAAAGGCUUAAAAUUAAUUGUGACGUGGCCAACCGCAUAGCGUCUAUGUUUUUUUUUUUAGAACACUCAUUUUAAAUAAUGUUGAUAAAAUGAGCAUUAAUUAUAGAAACCCACUAAGAGUUCCUCUCUCUAGAUUUAAGAGCACGUAGAACAAUCUCUAUUUUAAAAAGUGGAUAAAGAGCGUGAUUGAAGUUGAUUUUUUAAAACCCUAUCUAAUAUAUCUUCUUCAUUAAGUUAAACUCACUCAUUGAAUAUCUACCACCAUGGCAUUGUUAUAAGGAGUUCGUGUAUGAGUUUAAAUAUGUUGACAAUUUCGUGGACAACUUAAAAAUUCCAUAAAGAUUGGGUAGUUUUAUGUUUAUUAUUACAAGUGAUAUUUUACACGAAUUUAUACUAAUAAGAGGAAGAAGAUUUGAACUUGGAGUGUAGUGUAUUGAAGUCAAAGAACAAUUGUUUAAAAUCUUGUUAGUUUGGCUAGUGAAUAGUGUCAAAAAAUUAUUUUCACUUCACAAUUUAACUUAACAUCUCUAACAAUACUAUCUAUUUUAACACUCUAAAUAUUUUAAUAGCAUUUUAAAUUCUCUCUCCUUCUCUUUAAAGUCAAAAGAACAAUUGUUCACAAAACUAGAAUAUAGAACGGAUAGAGAGUCUCUUGCCAAUUUGUGCACUUUUAUUUAAAUUAGCUAAAGAUCCACAUUCGAAAGAAGACUUUUAUGAAAUAGGCACCGCUACCGUGACGUCUUAUUUUAAUAAACCAAUGAUAUGGGUAAAAAAUUUAAUACAUGGCACUGUAUUUUAUUUUAUUUUAUUUUUAUCAAUACAUGACACUGUGUUAUUAAAUAAAUACUUCACAUUAUGAUCAUAGAUGUUCUUGUAAGUUACGGCUUCUGAGAGCAUCUCCAAAUAAGAUGUCAAAAUCUUAAGUGGAAUGUCAUUGUACAUAUUUGACAUCAAAAGUCUACAAACUGAAGUGUUAUUUGUUGACUGGAUUUGAACGCUUUGUGAUUAGGAGUCAAAUUUGAUAUCAAUGUCAAAUAUAUUUUUAAUUAAUUUUAAUGAUGUGCCCCUUAUUUUACUAACAUUUUAACCAAUAUAAAUUUUGUUUCAACAUUUUUUUAAUAAUUACAACUAUUUAAAGCUCAAUUUAAAUAAGAAAAUAAUAUUUGACAAUUUGGUUUGAGAAGUACAAAAUUUGAUAUAAAACUUCAGAUUGCUACAUUAGCUAUCAAUUGUAAUUUGACUAUUAUAAUUUUUUUUUCCCAAGAUAGAGGUGCAUUAAAUACGCAUAGAAAUGUUUACAUCCUUAGCAAGAGUGUUAAACAAAAAAUCCGGGCCAAUACAGUCCCAGAUAAACUCUUGACUUUGCUUGAAAACGUACUUAGCAACUGAGUGAGCAGCAGAAUUGCUCU
RNAcentral lists this long non-coding RNA (1671 nucleotides) under Malus domestica (apple). RNAcentral describes it as "long non-coding RNA (MDOM_LNC010793)". Lineage: Eukaryota; Viridiplantae; Streptophyta; Magnoliopsida; Rosales; Rosaceae. The record is from RNAcentral.